RNAcentral lists this ribosomal RNA (1562 nucleotides) under Vibrio natriegens NBRC 15636 = ATCC 14048 = DSM 759. Its description in RNAcentral is "bacterial SSU rRNA". It matches the Rfam family "Bacterial small subunit ribosomal RNA". The record is from RNAcentral. Lineage: Bacteria; Pseudomonadati; Pseudomonadota; Gammaproteobacteria; Vibrionales; Vibrionaceae.
AAAUUGAAGAGUUUGAUCAUGGCUCAGAUUGAACGCUGGCGGCAGGCCUAACACAUGCAAGUCGAGCGGAAACGAGUUAACUGAACCUUCGGGGGACGUUAACGGCGUCGAGCGGCGGACGGGUGAGUAAUGCCUAGGAAAUUGCCCUGAUGUGGGGGAUAACCAUUGGAAACGAUGGCUAAUACCGCAUGAUGCCUACGGGCCAAAGAGGGGGACCUUCGGGCCUCUCGCGUCAGGAUAUGCCUAGGUGGGAUUAGCUAGUUGGUGAGGUAAGGGCUCACCAAGGCGACGAUCCCUAGCUGGUCUGAGAGGAUGAUCAGCCACACUGGAACUGAGACACGGUCCAGACUCCUACGGGAGGCAGCAGUGGGGAAUAUUGCACAAUGGGCGCAAGCCUGAUGCAGCCAUGCCGCGUGUGUGAAGAAGGCCUUCGGGUUGUAAAGCACUUUCAGUCGUGAGGAAGGUAGUGUAGUUAAUAGCUGCAUUAUUUGACGUUAGCGACAGAAGAAGCACCGGCUAACUCCGUGCCAGCAGCCGCGGUAAUACGGAGGGUGCGAGCGUUAAUCGGAAUUACUGGGCGUAAAGCGCAUGCAGGUGGUUUGUUAAGUCAGAUGUGAAAGCCCGGGGCUCAACCUCGGAAUAGCAUUUGAAACUGGCAGACUAGAGUACUGUAGAGGGGGGUAGAAUUUCAGGUGUAGCGGUGAAAUGCGUAGAGAUCUGAAGGAAUACCGGUGGCGAAGGCGGCCCCCUGGACAGAUACUGACACUCAGAUGCGAAAGCGUGGGGAGCAAACAGGAUUAGAUACCCUGGUAGUCCACGCCGUAAACGAUGUCUACUUGGAGGUUGUGGCCUUGAGCCGUGGCUUUCGGAGCUAACGCGUUAAGUAGACCGCCUGGGGAGUACGGUCGCAAGAUUAAAACUCAAAUGAAUUGACGGGGGCCCGCACAAGCGGUGGAGCAUGUGGUUUAAUUCGAUGCAACGCGAAGAACCUUACCUACUCUUGACAUCCAGAGAAUUUUCCAGAGAUGGAUUAGUGCCUUCGGGAACUCUGAGACAGGUGCUGCAUGGCUGUCGUCAGCUCGUGUUGUGAAAUGUUGGGUUAAGUCCCGCAACGAGCGCAACCCUUAUCCUUGUUUGCCAGCGAGUAAUGUCGGGAACUCCAGGGAGACUGCCGGUGAUAAACCGGAGGAAGGUGGGGACGACGUCAAGUCAUCAUGGCCCUUACGAGUAGGGCUACACACGUGCUACAAUGGCGCAUACAGAGGGCGGCCAACUUGCGAAAGUGAGCGAAUCCCAAAAAGUGCGUCGUAGUCCGGAUUGGAGUCUGCAACUCGACUCCAUGAAGUCGGAAUCGCUAGUAAUCGUGGAUCAGAAUGCCACGGUGAAUACGUUCCCGGGCCUUGUACACACCGCCCGUCACACCAUGGGAGUGGGCUGCAAAAGAAGUAGGUAGUUUAACCUUCGGGGGGACGCUUACCACUUUGUGGUUCAUGACUGGGGUGAAGUCGUAACAAGGUAGCGCUAGGGGAACCUGGCGCUGGAUCACCUCCUUAUACGAUGAU